CUGGACGCCACAGCGGGCCUGGAACCACCGGACCCAUCCCGGACCUCAAAAGGGAAACAGUCCUGCGCCGAUGGUAGUGUGGUUCGCCCAUGCGAGAGUAGGUCAUCGUCAGGC
This 114-nucleotide ribosomal RNA is filed under the name Alteromonadaceae bacterium. Lineage: Bacteria; Pseudomonadati; Pseudomonadota; Gammaproteobacteria; Alteromonadales; Alteromonadaceae. The record is from RNAcentral.